UGAGCAAUCUGCCCUUCUCUUCGGAAUAAGCGUUGGAAACGACGUCUAAUGCCGAAUACGACCUCCUUUCGCAUGAUCGGAGGUGGAAAGCUCCGGCGGAGAAGGAUGAGCUCGCGGCCUAUCAGCUAGUUGGUGGGGUAACGGCUCACCAAGGCGACGACGGGUAGCCGGCCUGAGAGGGUGACCGGCCACACUGGGACUGAGACGCGGCCCAGACUCCGUACGGGAGCAGCAGG
RNAcentral lists this ribosomal RNA (236 nucleotides) under uncultured bacterium. Its description in RNAcentral is "partial 16S ribosomal RNA". It matches the Rfam family "Bacterial small subunit ribosomal RNA", at positions 118 to 354 of the family's 1533-position model. The record is from RNAcentral.